UGAUAGCGUAGAAGCGUGAGGUUGCUGCGGUAUCCCCGCAGGUUUUCCGUGGAGCGAAUGUCAAGUUAUAAAACUGGCGACAA
RNAcentral lists this non-coding RNA (83 nucleotides) under uncultured Marvinbryantia sp. RNAcentral's name for it is "S10-Clostridia ribosomal protein leader". It matches the Rfam family "S10-Clostridia ribosomal protein leader". Lineage: Bacteria; Bacillati; Bacillota; Clostridia; Lachnospirales; Lachnospiraceae. The record is from RNAcentral.